AGCAGCCGCGGUAAUUCCAGCUCCAAUAGCGUAUAUUAAAGUUGCUGCAGUUAAAAAGCUCGUAGUUGAAUUUCGGGACUAAUAUGUCGGUCGUGCCUCGGUACGUACUGGUAUUUUUGGUUUCUCCCUUCUGACGAACCUUGAUGUCAUUAAUUUGGUGUCUUGGGAAAUCAGGACUGUUACUUUGAAAAAAUUAGAGUGUUUAAAGCAGGCUCACGCUUGAAUACAUUAGCAUGGAAUAAUGAAAUAGGACGUUUGAUUCUAUUUUGUUGGUUUCUAGGAUCGACGUAAUGAUUAAUAGGGAUAGUUGGGGGCAUUAGUAUUCAAUUGUCAGAGGUGAAAUUCUUGGAUUUAUUGAAGACUAACUACUGCGAAAGCAUUUGCCAAGGAUGUUUUCAUUAAUCAAGAACGAAAGUUAGGGGAUCGAAGACGAUCAGAUACCGUCGUAGU
RNAcentral lists this ribosomal RNA (450 nucleotides) under uncultured Glomeromycotina. RNAcentral's name for it is "SSU rRNA". It matches the Rfam family "Eukaryotic small subunit ribosomal RNA", at positions 569 to 1024 of the family's 1831-position model. Lineage: Eukaryota; Fungi; Glomeromycota. The record is from RNAcentral.